AGCGCAGGCGGCAGGGCAAGUCAGAUGUGAAAGCCCGGGGCUCAACCCCGGGACUGCAUUUGAAACUGUCCAGCUGGAGUACAGGAGAGGCAGGCGGAAUUCCUAGUGUAGCGGUGAAAUGCAUAGAUAUUAGGAGGAACACCAGUGGCGAAGGCGGCCUGCUGGACUGUAACUGACGCUGAGGCUGAAAGCGUGGGGGAGCAAACGA
This 208-nucleotide ribosomal RNA is filed under the name uncultured bacterium. RNAcentral's name for it is "partial 16S ribosomal RNA". It matches the Rfam family "Bacterial small subunit ribosomal RNA", at positions 568 to 775 of the family's 1533-position model. The record is from RNAcentral.